GUGAGGAAUAUUGGUCAAUGGGCGCAAGCCUGAACCAGCCAUGCCGCGUGCAGGAAGACGGUCCUAUGGAUUGUAAACUGCUUUUAUUUGGGAAUAAACUCCGGUACGUGUACCGGCCUGAAGGUACCAAAUGAAUAAGCACCGGCUAACUCCGUGCCAGCAGCCGCGGUAAUACGGAGGGUGCAAGCGUUAUCCGGAAUCAUUGGGUUUAAAGGGUCCGCAGGCGGUCUUAUAAGUCAUUGGUGAAAGCCUACAGCUCAACUGUAGAACUGCCAUUGAUACUGUAGGACUUGAAUUCGAUCGAAGUGGGCGGAAUGUGACAUGUAGCGGUGAAAUGCUUAGAUAUGUCACAGAACACCGAUAGCGAAGGCAGCUCACUAGGUCUGGAUUGACGCUCAGGGACGAAAGCGUGGGGAGCAAACAGGAUUAGAAACCCGGGUAGUCC
Molecule: ribosomal RNA, 445 nt
Filed under: uncultured bacterium
Lineage: Bacteria
Description: partial 16S ribosomal RNA
Rfam family: Bacterial small subunit ribosomal RNA
Source: RNAcentral